Molecule: transfer RNA, 73 nt
Filed under: Cordylochernes scorpioides
Lineage: Eukaryota; Metazoa; Arthropoda; Arachnida; Pseudoscorpiones; Chernetidae
Description: tRNA-Pro
Rfam family: tRNA
About the family: Transfer RNA (tRNA) molecules are approximately 80 nucleotides in length. Their secondary structure includes four short double-helical elements and three loops (D, anti-codon, and T loops). Further hydrogen bonds mediate the characteristic L-shaped molecular structure. tRNAs have two regions of fundamental functional importance: the anti-codon, which is responsible for specific mRNA codon recognition, and the 3' end, to which the tRNAs corresponding amino acid is attached (by aminoacyl-tRNA synthetases). tRNAs cope with the degeneracy of the genetic code in two manners: having more than one tRNA (with a specific anti-codon) for a particular amino acid; and 'wobble' base-pairing, i.e. permitting non-standard base-pairing at the 3rd anti-codon position.
Source: RNAcentral
UCCAGGGUAGCCUAGUGGACAUGGCAUCUGCCCGGGGUGUGGAACACUGUGGGUUCGAUUCCCAUCCCUGGAC